RNAcentral lists this ribosomal RNA (150 nucleotides) under Astraeus koreanus. Its description in RNAcentral is "5.8S ribosomal RNA". It matches the Rfam family "5.8S ribosomal RNA". From Rfam's summary of the family: 5.8S ribosomal RNA (5.8S rRNA) is a component of the large subunit of the eukaryotic ribosome. It is transcribed by RNA polymerase I as part of the 45S precursor that also contains 18S and 28S rRNA. The record is from RNAcentral. Lineage: Eukaryota; Fungi; Basidiomycota; Agaricomycetes; Boletales; Astraeaceae.
UAACUUUCAGCAACGGAUCUCUUGGCUCUCGCAUCGAUGAAGAACGCAGCGAAUCGCGAUAAGUAAUGUGAAUUGCAGAUUUUCCGUGAAUCAUCGAAUCUUUGAACGCACCUUGCGCUCCUCGGUAUUCCGAGGAGCAUGCCUGUUUGA